UCUUAUAUAUACUCAAUUUUGCAUCAGUACACACGUCAUCGUCAUUGUCAUGUAUUGGUCGGUAUUAUCAAACGCUUUCGUCCAUCACAUCAACUGUUUCCAAAGGCCAAACAGGAGAUAAAUUGGGUUCUCAUGAGUGCUCUUUUAGGUUCAUGGUACAGAAGAAGGGUCAAACUACCACCAGGGUCAUAAAACUGUCCUUGGAAAUGCCCAAAAUGCCUAUGAAAGCCUUGCCAAGUAUGUGUGCUUGGGUGCCAAAAUGUUGAGUUAUACAGCCCAUUAUUUCUCUGCUAUAGGAUGAAGGUCUUUCACAACUCUUUUUGGCAGCUCCUCUAUACUUUAUUUUAUUGGAGCAGAGAUUAGUGUUUUUUUCCCCCUGGAGUUGCUUCCUUUAAUGAAAACAAAGUCCAUUUGUCUCUGUGUCUGAUGUUAAUACACUUCAUCCUGCCCCACAAAGCUUCUAAUUCCACGUCCUGCUUCUCUGUCUGCCCUGACUUACACGCUGGCUGGGUGCUUUGGUUCCUCAGCUGUUGUGAGGUGCAUGAGAUGAAGUGCACAAGUCCAAGCCUCACCUUUCAUAGGCACCAGGACACCUUUAACCUUUGUCUGUUCCCUGGUCCAGGACACUCAAGGCCUGUCUCCCCAUGUUGUGCCUGGCAUUCUUCUCCAUUCAGCUUGGCACAUUUCUUAACUUCUCUCUGGAUCUUGUGUGAGGUGCAGAGUUUAUGAAGCACAUUUUAGGGCUGGGAAUAUGCACAGACUGCACCCUUCUCCUCAGGGAGAGGGGCAGGUUUAUAGUCAUAAUAAUACAAUGUUUACCAAAAUUGUUCCACUCCAUUUCUCUCCUGAUUUCUUAUUCAUUCUGUAGGCCUGGUUUGCAGUAAUUAGGUAAAGUUUGGGGCACAUGUUACAAGUGUGCCUGGCUGUGGUGCUCAUCUCCAUCCCUCUGGCCCCUGAGCCAGCAGCGGGUAAGGACCCUUCAGCCCCAGGACAUGGCCACUACAGUAUCUGGGUCACCACAGCUGCCUUGCCCAGGUUCCCUUUUAUAGACCAACCCAAAAGGCAGGAUGAACAGCUGGGUGGGUCGUCAUUAUAACCCAGACCGGUGUGUUCAUAGCUAGCCGUCAACCUCUCCACCAAGGGAGCACACUGGUUGCUGUGUGUGUCUACUCUUUCAAAGCAAACACUGCCUGGGUCACUGUAACAGCAGCCUGCCCCUGUCCCUGCAGAGGAAGGUGUUCCGUCAGUGUAACAGGAGAAAGCUGAAAAUCAACCGCACGUGCAAGACAUGCCAGGCUCUGAUGUCCAGUGUGGAGGAGAUCGGAAUUCCUAUCAUGAGGGAGACACACAGCCGCACCACACCCUCACCGGACGCCAGCAAUCCUGUAGUCGCCACACCUCCAGGGAGCCACCAUCAAGCAGGACGACCACUCCGGAGCCAUCAUCAUCACCCGCAUCAUGCAUGGCUGACUGCUCCGGCCUCAUCCAUGCUGCCGACGAGGUGCAGGGGUCAACACCUUCAAUGUGGAGGGCAAGACACCGGCGGAUGUCCACAAGAUG
Long non-coding RNA from Eriocheir sinensis (Chinese mitten crab), 1560 nucleotides. RefSeq lists it as uncharacterized. Lineage: Eukaryota; Metazoa; Arthropoda; Malacostraca; Decapoda; Varunidae. The record is from RefSeq and is a predicted model, not a curated record. The transcript is spliced from 4 exons.